CUAAGAAAGUUUUUUUUUUUCUUCCACAGAAUUAUUACUUGAGUUUUACUAUGGAAUGGAAAAAGAUCAUACUUUAAAAAAUACCUAUAUUUCUGGUGUCUGCAGGGAGAAAAGAAAAAGAGGAGCAACUGUGUGGGUGCCACUAUGGACAGAGAGAGAAGCAGGGAUGAUUCUGAGGCAAUAAAGGUGUCAAGCUGGUUUAAAUUGUUACAUCAGCUGUGAAUUUUACACAGUGCCCAGACUGAGAAAAACCGGAGCGGGAGCGUGUGCUAUCAUCACUGGAAGGACAGACAAGUAAAAGUAAUUGCUUCAGGAUGUCUUAUAAGGCAAAUCCGUUGUAUGACAUGUAUUUUUAUACCUUCUAAACGCAAGGGCACCUGUUUAACAAUCUGGCAAGGCAGGAUCCUGGAAGCCUUGGGAACCUGGACAGCUGGAACUGAGACACCAGAGGCUGUCAUUUGUACUCUCUUAAAGAAAAUCAUCUGCGAGGGAAUUUCUGCACAGGCCCGGUAG
This 513-nucleotide long non-coding RNA is filed under the name Struthio camelus australis. Its description in RNAcentral is "lncRNA (ENSSCUG00000002750.1)". Lineage: Eukaryota; Metazoa; Chordata; Aves; Struthioniformes; Struthionidae. The record is from RNAcentral.